CCUCACUUAUUUUAAAUAACCAGAAAUACUGGGCUGCUCUGAGAAUCCCAACCUCCGCGAGUAGUCCUUGUGCUUUCAACUGACCUUGGAAAAGAAUGCUUUAAUUAUACACAUGCUUCACUUAAAUCAGUAAUGAAUUGCAGUUCUGCAGGGCGGCUUGCUGGGACUGUCCCCAUAAAUAACGCUGUCGAGGCAUGCCUGGGUGGUGGUGAUAUGCUGAUUCAAGUUGCACGGGAGAAACCAACAGAAACAUCUCUGCAUCGUGACGAGACCCACAAUGACACGCGGUCUGGAUGAGGAAGCAUUCAAACGCGUUUCCUUUCUCAGCACGUGGGAUACAGGCUUGAGAAGAAGUGAGAACUGAGGUGCUGCCUAGAUUUCUGUCCUUCGAGGAGAUGGCAUGAAUUACUGGUAGGUAGAAGUGGUGUGGGGCCAGAGGUGGUGGUGUGGGGGGCAGCGAUGGGGGCUGCACUGUGGUGGGCAGCAGCUCACUGCUCUGGCAGGAAAUCUUGGUUCCAUGCUUGGCAAAGUUCAUCUGCUGGAAAGGCACCUGCACGUGGCUCAGGGAGCAGGCUGCUGCUACAGCACUGACUGGGGAGUAUUAAUUGUACACUGCUUGAUUUAGAACUUUUUGUAGGUGAGAAUAAGGUCCUAGCUCUACUAAUGUCUCUAUACCACCAUGUUGAAAGGAUGUAUUAGAAUCACCAAGGCUGGAAAAGACCUGCAAGGUCAUCCAGUCCAACUGCCCACCUACCACCCAUAUUCCCCACUAAACCACAUCCCAUAGUACCACAUCUAAAUGUUUCCUGAGCACCUCCAGGGACGGGGACUCCACCACUCCCUGGGCAGCCCAUUCCAGCACCUGACUGCUCCAUCAGAGAAUAUCACCAGGAUGAGGCAUGGAAAUACCAAUUAAAUUGGUACCUUGUAUAUAUUCAGGGUUUUUAUUGAUACAGGAGUCAGUAUUCUAGGUUGUUAUAGCCACGUGGAUCAGGCCAGAUUUUCCCAAAAACAAUUAAGGGCGAGGGAAAAAAUGGCUCAAGAAGUUGCUGUAAUAUUUUUUAGAAAGUUCUGAGAAUAUUUCCCUUUCCAAAUGCGGCGACGUUAUCUCCAUUAGUGACGUUACACCUGGAAGAGAGAUGCCAUGGGGUUUAAAGUUGAUCCUAGAACUAUUCCUCGGUGGAAACGGGACUGCUCCUGGGCUGCUCCACUCCUGCCUGGAAACACGUUAAACUCACCCUAAUUCCUACAUGAGCCUCUGACAGUUCUCAUCUGCUUGACACCAGCUACCAGUGCUGGUGAUUAUUCAUUCGGGCUGGCUGUUAGUGAUAGUAAUAAAAUGUUGACAAUGCCUUAGGGUAAAGCUUUC
This 1369-nucleotide long non-coding RNA is filed under the name Numida meleagris (helmeted guineafowl). RNAcentral's name for it is "lncRNA (ENSNMEG00000005845.1)". Lineage: Eukaryota; Metazoa; Chordata; Aves; Galliformes; Numididae. The record is from RNAcentral.